Molecule: ribosomal RNA, 497 nt
Filed under: uncultured bacterium
Lineage: Bacteria
Description: partial 16S ribosomal RNA
Rfam family: Bacterial small subunit ribosomal RNA
Source: RNAcentral
GAUGAACGCUGGCGGCGUGCCUAAUACAUGCAAGUCGAACGAACAGAUAGGAACCUUCUUCCUCUGACGUUUGCGGCAGGCGUGAGAAUCACGCAUGUAUCCUCCACCUAUGAGACUGGUAUAACUUCGAAAAGCCAGAUCUUAUACCAUAUAAUAUGUUGUACCGUAUCAUUCACUAGAAAAAUGCAGUUUUGUCGUUACUUAUAGAUGCUUCGUCGCAGUAUCAACUAGUUGGGAAGGUAACGGCUUACAAAGGCAACGAUGCGUAGCCGACCGGAGAGGGUGAUCGGCCACACGGGAACGGAGAAACGGCCAAGACUCCUACGGGAGGAAGCAGUGGGGAAUUUUGGGCAAGGGGGGAAAGCCUGACGGAGAAAGGCGGCGUGGGUGAUGAAGGUCUUGGGAUCGUAAAACUCUGUGUUUGGGAAAGAAGAGAUGUGGAAGUAAAUAUGCACGCUGUGACGGUACCUAAUCAGAAAGAGACGGCUAACUACGUG